AGAAACUUAGGAUAGUUAAUAGUCCAAGGGCCUUCAAAGCCCUCAGCAGGAGUUCAAACCUCCUAGUUUCUG
RNAcentral lists this transfer RNA (72 nucleotides) under Hoplobatrachus rugulosus (rugose frog). RNAcentral describes it as "tRNA-Trp". It matches the Rfam family "tRNA". Rfam says of the family: Transfer RNA (tRNA) molecules are approximately 80 nucleotides in length. The record is from RNAcentral. Lineage: Eukaryota; Metazoa; Chordata; Amphibia; Anura; Dicroglossidae. RNAcentral also lists the same sequence under 1 other name.